Molecule: long non-coding RNA, 3803 nt
Organism: Cyprinus carpio carpio
Lineage: Eukaryota; Metazoa; Chordata; Actinopteri; Cypriniformes; Cyprinidae
Source: Ensembl
UUCUAAUUCUAUUUAGGCCUACUAUCAACUUAAACAAUAUGUUAUCAAGUGUCAGGACAAGUUUAUAAUUUUAUGUACUAUGUAAACGCUGUGUAAUGUGUUUGAUGGGCGCGCGCGUUGAACAUUCGACGCGCAUUUAAACUGGAGAGGAGGGAGUUACCAUGGAAACGGGGCGGCAACUCAGCUGAUAAGUAGCAAAUCUCUCCGUCCCUAACUGAUGUUUUUACUGCUUUCAGAAAUGGUUCAGUGUCAUGGGAAUAAGUCUGUUAGCAUCACAACCGUGAGCUAACAGAGGCUAACUAUAAGAGCAGAGUUGGAGUGGACCUCUUGUUGAAGAACUUCUCCAGGCACUAUGAACCAUCUGACUAUCCUGUAUGUCUUACAAGGCCAUCCUGUUUAACACUGCACUGAGGACACUACAACCAGAGAGGUACAACAUAAUUUAAAAUGAGACACAGAUGAUAAUAAAAAAGUGCUUUGAAAUGAAAAUGAAUACUGGUAAGACAGCACCGAGUACUGUGACUGUGCCUCACUUCAAAGUGAAACAGUCUGUAAUGGUCAUCUGCCAUGCCAGAUCGAUGGUGAAGGUGGGAAUUAUAAGUAUUUUAUAAACUUUAAAUGUAGUAAAGUGUUUGUUCAAGUAGACUUUGUUGCUUGUGGAAACCUCACACAAGCCUGAAAGGUGCUUUAAACCUAAAAUCUUAUUUGCACUCUUGAAAACUGUUCACCAAAGACUAAAUUUCAGUCCAGCAGAAUUUUCUGCACACUUCACCACCAAGAUCAAAAUGAGCAUUGUGAAUGUAAAAGCUUCACAUUACAUUUAUAACCACCAUUGUUAAUAUUUGAAUUAUAUUGAAUUAUAUUAUGCCUUGAUAGUGGACAAUACCGGAUUUUUUGACCAAACAUAUUUAGGGUUCAGAUUGCGCUAUACGUGGAGAAUAAUGCACAUUUAAAAAAAAAAAAAAAAAAAAGGCAUUUAUCAGUUUUUGCAAAUGAACUUUUCACACUUGCCAUACUCCAACAGUGUGAACGCACUGACCAAACAAAACAAAAUUGGUGGCAGUGUGAAAUGACCAUAAUGCUGUAUGUUAGGUGUGAGAUUCAUUAAACUUGGUUUGCUAUAAUACAUCUAUUCAGAAGUGCACCAGUGUGAAUCAUAAUUUCCCCCACAUUUGCUGUAUAUCCAUAAAGUCAUAUCUAUUGCCGCGUUUCCGCCGAAAAUUACCUGGAACAAUUGUACCAGGAACUUUUUUCCCCAGGAACUAUUUUCCCUCACAGACCUGUUGCUUUCAGCGUUUCCACCGCGGUCUAAAGUACCGUGAAGAUUAGGCAAAUAGUCUGGUGACGUAAGCCUGCGCGUGUUUCUCAAUACAGAGUAUGCAAGUUUUGGACUUGCAUCCUCGGUAGUUCGGACCUUGCGAGUUCGACUCGGGAGUGUGAUCUCCCGUGGAUGAAACGACGCAAGUCUGGUAAUUCUGCAAACAACAGCGUACUUAACAUCAGUCAGCUCGCCUUGGCUACUGCAAUUUUCCUCACUGUAUAUGUACAAUAAGAUGAAAUAGGCUAUGAUAUCAAAUACCACUGCCUCCUUUCGUUUUCAUUUAAACAUAAUAAUAGCCGCAGAAAUGUACUUUGUUUAGGGAAAUGUGUAUAUAUAUACAGCCUACAAUACAAUGAAAUGAAAUAUUAUAUCAAUUUCCUUUUUAUUUUCAUUUUAAAGGGUUAGUUCAGCCAAAAAUUAAAAUUAUGUCAUUAAUGACUCACCCUCAUGUCGUUCCAAACCCGUAAGACCUCCGUUCAUCUUCGGAAAAACAGUUUAAGAUAUUUUAGAUUUAGUCCAAGAGCUUUCAGUCCCUCCAUUGAAAAUGUAUGUACGGUAUACUGUCCACGUCCAGAAAGGUAAUAAAAACAUCAUCAAAGUAGUCCAUGUGACAUCAGAGGGUCAGUUAGAAUUUGUUGAAGCAUCGAAAAUACAUUUUGGUCCAAAAAUAACGACUUUAUUCAGGAUUGUCUUCUCUUCCGGGUCUGUUGUGAGCGCGACUGCUGUGGCUGUUGACGUAGGACGCUGCUGACAUGUUUUCUGGUGUGCCCAAUAACAAAGAUAACACGUCAGCAGCGUCGUACGUCAACUGUCACAGCAGUCAGUCGCACAAUUGAAUGAAGACCAAAGAUUACCUGUUAGAUUUACACAAAACUAAUUAUAUUUUAAGUUUAACCACUAAAGAGACAUCAGAGCCAGCGGCACAUAUCAGAAGGACUAGCCGAGUUGAGACUGCUCUAGGCGGAUACAUGAGCAAUGAGCUCCCACUGAUCACGUGGAGCUGACCGUAAUCCGAAAUCGUCCGAAAUCGGUGAAACACAUUUUUAAAUAGGCGCUGUCUUUAUAAAUAAACCACAGAUUUGAGUUUUCAACAACUACGUUCUCACCUGAAAUACUUUUAAAACUACAUUUCAUGAUACAAUAACAGUAAUAUUUUGAAAAUUAUCCGAAUAAAUGGUGGUUGAAAUCACAAUGCUGCGUGAACUCAACCAAUCAGCAUGUUUAGCGCUCAAGUCCCGCCCCCGAAAGUUCCGGACCUUUGAAAAAGUACUACCUCGUGAGCAGGGACUUUCUGAGGGGCAUUUUUCUACCCGGAACUUUAUUUAGAUCCUGGUUCCUGCUGUGGAAACACACCGAGUACAGCCCAAAGUCCCUAGUUCCUGGGUAAAGUUCCAGCGGUGGAAACGCGGCUUAUGUCCUAGUCUUCUUUCAGUGAUUAAGAUCCAAUAUUUUUUUAUGACGCACACAAGUUUCGGAGGCAUUGUGUAAACGUGAUUGACACAACGUGAGGUCGUAUUUAUUUUUUAAUGUGUGAAAAUAUCUGACUAUAGUGUGCAGUGACCUUAAGGGUUAAGGGUACAAACACUUGACCAGAAUCAUGUCAAGUAACAACUGACUAAUCCAAAUGUUUUUUAUCUUCUUUCUUGUUUUUUUUUUUGUUUUGCAGAUGCUGUCAUGAAACGCCAUGAAAAGGCAACUGCUGGACACCUGGGACAGGCCAUCAAUUCCAAGUUGGCGGAACUGAGGUUUCAACUGAAGAAAAAGGAGAGCCUGUUAGAGUUUAGAGUUGUCUAAUAGAGAGGGUGAAGGAAGAACAUCCAAACCCUGCCCCUGCUUCCUUUUUUUAUGGAUUUAUAUAAUGGUGUUUUUUCGUAAAGUAAAGAGAGUGGCAAAAUUAACAUGACCCUACUUUGAUGUUUUGUUCUACAAAUUAAACCACACACACACUCCAACAACACCAAUUUUGAUACAAUUUGCAUUUGCAAGAAUUUUUUUUUUAAUUUUGCCACUGCCUUUACUUUACGAAAAAAAAACACCAUUAUAUAAAUCCAUAAAAUCUUGAAGAAAUCAGGGGCAGGGUUUGGAUGUUCUUCUUUCACCCUCUCUAUAAGACAACUCUAAAAUUGUUUUUUUUUUUAACAGACUUUAUUUAAUUAAUUAAAACUUCUCCAAGAAUUACUUUUCAGGUUUUAGCAUCAUCCUUUAGUAUUCAUAAUAGCAAUUUCAGUAAAGUUGCUGGUUUGAUUUAUGUUUUAACUGUGCAGUUUAUGUGCAUUCUGUUCUUUUGCCAAUGUCAAUAAUAUUUUUAUUUUUCUAUAGUAGGUGUUAUGUCAUCUGAAUAUACUGCUCAUUUUUGCAAGUGAAUUUAUACUGUCACAGUUUUUAAGUUGCAUUGUCUGGGGAUUUGUAAAUUUUUUUCAGUCUCCAAUUUCUGUUCAGUAUUUGAAUGUUUAAAUUCAUAUAUAUACAUAUUACAUUUCAG